CCUACGGGAGGCUGCAGUGAGGAAUAUUGGUCAAUGGCCGUAAGGCUGAACCAGCCAAGUAGCGUGAGGGAAGCCUGCCCUAUGGGUUGUAAACCUCUUUUAUGCGGGGAUAAAGGUGUCCACGUGUGGAUGUUUGCAGGUACCGCAUGAAUACGGACCGGCUAAUUCCGUGCCAGCAGCCGCGGUACUACGGAAGGUCCGUGCGUUAUCCGGAUUGAUUGGGUUUAAAGGGAGCGUAGGCCGGUCUUUAAGCGUGCCGUGAAAUUUUGUGGCUCAACCAUGAGAGUGCGGCGCGAACUGGAGACCUUGAGUGCGCGGAAGGCAGGCGGAAUUCGUGGUGUAGCGGUGAAAUGCUUAGAUAUCACGCAGAACUCCGAGUGCGAAGGCAGCAUACCGGCGCGCAACUGACGCUCAUGCACGAAAGCGUGGGUAUCGAACAGGAUUAGAUACCCCUGUAGUC
RNAcentral lists this ribosomal RNA (460 nucleotides) under uncultured bacterium. Its description in RNAcentral is "partial 16S ribosomal RNA". It matches the Rfam family "Bacterial small subunit ribosomal RNA", at positions 338 to 795 of the family's 1533-position model. The record is from RNAcentral.